AGCAGCCGCGGUAAUUCCAGCUCCAAUAGCGUAUAUUAAAGUUGUUGCAGUUAAAAAGCUCGUAGUUGAAUUUCGGGAUCAAUACGUCGGUCGUGCCUUCGGUACGCACUGGCGUCGUUGAUUUCUCCCUUCUGAUGAACCAUGAUGUCAUUAAUUUGGUGUUGUGGGGAGCCAGGACUGUUACUUUGAAAAAUUAGAGUGUUUAAAGCAGGCAAACGCUUGAAUACAUUAGCAUGGAAUAAUGAAAUAGGACGUUCGGACCUAUUUUGUUGGUUUCUAGGUACAACGUAAUGAUUAAUAGGGAUAGUUGGGGGCAUUAGUACUCAAUUGUCAGAGGUGAAAUUCUUGGAUUUAUUGAAGACUAACUACUGCGAAAGCAUUUGCCAAGGAUGUUUUCAUUAAUCAAGAACGAAAGUUAGGGGAUCGAAGACGAUCAGAUACCGUCGUAGUCUUAACCAUAAACUAUGACCGACUAGGGAUCGGAUGAUGUUAAUUUUUAAUGUACUC
Molecule: ribosomal RNA, 507 nt
Filed under: uncultured Glomus
Lineage: Eukaryota; Fungi; Glomeromycota; Glomeromycetes; Glomerales; Glomeraceae
Description: SSU rRNA
Rfam family: Eukaryotic small subunit ribosomal RNA
Source: RNAcentral